This 68-nucleotide small RNA is filed under the name Virgibacillus subterraneus. Its description in RNAcentral is "Bacillaceae-1 RNA". It matches the Rfam family "Bacillaceae-1 RNA". Lineage: Bacteria; Bacillati; Bacillota; Bacilli; Caryophanales; Bacillaceae. The record is from RNAcentral.
UGAAAAUGACCGAGUCGGCUAAGUUCGCAACGUCCUGUUGCAACGCCGACACUAGCACGUCCUGUGCG